Molecule: non-coding RNA, 115 nt
Filed under: Blautia sp.
Lineage: Bacteria; Bacillati; Bacillota; Clostridia; Lachnospirales; Lachnospiraceae
Also listed under: 1 other name
Description: FMN sequence
Rfam family: FMN riboswitch aptamer (RFN element)
About the family: The RFN element is a highly conserved domain that is found frequently in the 5'-untranslated regions of prokaryotic mRNAs that encode for flavin mononucleotide (FMN) biosynthesis and transport proteins.
Source: RNAcentral
GAGAAUCUUCAGGGCAGGGUGCAAUUCCCUACCGGUGGUACAGCCCACGAGCCGCAAGGCAUGAUUCGGUGAAACUCCGAAGCCGACAGUAAAGUCUGGAUGAAAGAAGAUUGGA